Molecule: transfer RNA, 59 nt
Filed under: Chiropterargas boueti
Lineage: Eukaryota; Metazoa; Arthropoda; Arachnida; Ixodida; Argasidae
Description: Argas boueti tRNA-Val
Source: RNAcentral
AGGAAUGUAAUCAAUAUGAUAUUUCUUUUACAUAGAAAAUGUACUUUUUGUCAUUCAUA